UUCCUGUUGAAUGGUCUUGACACCUUUGUCAAAAACCAAUUGACCCUAGAUAUAUGAGCUUAUUUCUGGACUCUCACUUCUAUUCCAUGGAUCUGCAUAUACAUCUUAUACCAGUACCAUACUAUCUUGAAUACUGUUGUUUUGCACCUUACAAACUGCCACUGGCUAAAAACACAAGAAUCUGUCCAAGCUGGGCAAUUCGUAAAGCAGAAAUGAUGCACCAAGGACACAUCACUUCGGUGGGACUCCUACCAAAAAGACAACUUCAAUCUAAUCAUGAGUAAACAUCAGACAAACCCAAACUGCAAGACGUUCUAUAAAAUAAUUAGCUGCUACUCAUCAAUAGUGUCAAGGUCAGGAAAGAAAUGGAAAGACUGAGCAACCACGGCAGAUUGGAGGAAACUAAGAAGACACAACUAAAUUCAAGAGCCUGUGUUGGAUGCUGGACUUUAGUGGGAAAAUGCUGAAAUUCAAAUAAGGUUUAUAGUUUAGUUGAUAGACUUUUAUCUAUGUUAACUUUCUGGCUUUAAUAAUUGUACUAUAGUUAUGAAAGAUGUUAACAUUAGGAUUAGGGUAAGGGGUAGUUGUGAACUUUCUGUAUUAUUUUUGCUACUUUUCUGUAAGUCUAACCACUAUUUAAAAGUGAAAAGCUGAACAAACAACCAACCAAAACAAAAAGAGCUCUCUGUGACUGACAUUCAAACCAUGAGUCGUAACCAACAGAAUGCACUUCAA
Molecule: long non-coding RNA, 735 nt
Organism: Manis pentadactyla (Chinese pangolin)
Lineage: Eukaryota; Metazoa; Chordata; Mammalia; Pholidota; Manidae
Exons: 3
Source: RefSeq, a predicted model, not a curated record